Alnus glutinosa is the source of this 1180-nucleotide long non-coding RNA. RefSeq lists it as uncharacterized. NCBI's taxonomy places the organism in Eukaryota, Viridiplantae, Streptophyta, Magnoliopsida, Fagales, Betulaceae. The transcript is spliced from 2 exons. The record is from RefSeq and is a predicted model, not a curated record.
UAGGAUUCCUUCAUUUUUUUCUAAAAAAAAAAAAUAUUUGAAUUAUUUAAUUAAAAAUAAUAAAUAAGAUUUUAAUCAUCCACGGGAAAAUUAUUUCAGUAAAUAAAAUCUGAAGUACUUAAUUGGCAUUUAAGGCAUCUUGAGAUUAUUAAUCAACCAACCUAUAAGACUGUUCAAGAACGGGACUAGGAACUUGUCGCCUCUUUGACUGAUAAUCACUCGAGAACGCACAGAAGCUUAGGAUGUUGCAGAAGCUUCCGCCACGAAUUUGAGAUACCUUAGACGCCUACUUCUCACUGCUGAUUGCUGAGGUAAAGCUAUCGCUUUUUCAUUGUAACAAAAAAAUUGGGACUAUUUCCAAUCUUUCGUUUCUGAGACAAUUUGUUCAUCCUUGGCUAAAAAGAACUUGAUUUGGCAAAGGAAGUCAAAUUUCAUUAAAACCCAAGCAGUUCUUUGCUUAAUAGAAUGUGUUUCUGCAUUCAAAAUCGAAGCUUUCAGGACUGGAAUCGGUGAUUAUCUCUGGGGUUGUAUUGGGGGGUUAUGCCUGAAAGGUAGGAGUAUUGUAAUUUAAUUUUGCCUGAAAUAGGCAUGGGUUCAGAACAAAACCGCCGCUGGAGUGUUUUUGAUAGGGUUAAGGUUAUUCCGGCAGCGCCUGAGGCUCUCAUGGCAGAGAUUGAUACAGCAAUUUCUAACCUUGAGUAUGCCCGGGCUACGGCCUACCUUGAGCCGCCGUCUUCAUCCGUUUUAAAGAAUAAGAGCUUAGCUUCGAGUCCAAGGCCGCGGUAUGAUGCCCGAAUGGCAGAUGAAGCUUAUAGGGCGGGAUGUGCUGCCUUGGCUGCAGGCGAGCUUGAUGAGGCUCUUCACUCUUUGAACAUUUCUCUUUCUAGAUGCCCACCUGAUAAGACCAGUGCCAUUGCUAAGAUUCAGUCUCUCAUUUCUCUCACGUCUCAGCAGCUCCAGAAGUCUCCCAAGUGAAUUACUUGAUGUUGGUUGUCAGAUUUUUUUUAUUGAAGACGUGCAAAUUGAUUGGGGGCCACUUGUUGAGUCACUAAUGGGAGAAAGAUAAGAGAGGGUCCUUAACACAAUGCUGCAGGAUCCAAUUGCUUGUAGAUAAGGUGUCUAAAUUUGGAAUAUGUUGAUGUUGUAUGUGAAUCAACUCCCUGGUACUUGCUCUUACAAA